Molecule: ribosomal RNA, 467 nt
Filed under: uncultured bacterium
Lineage: Bacteria
Description: partial 16S ribosomal RNA
Rfam family: Bacterial small subunit ribosomal RNA
Source: RNAcentral
GACGAACGCUGGCGGCGUGCUUAACACAUGCAAGUCGAACGGAAAGGCCCUGCUUUUGUGGGGUGCUCGAGUGGCGAACGGGUGAGUAACACGUGAGUAACCUGCCCUUGACUUUGGGAUAACUUCAGGAAACUGGGGCUAAUACCGGAUAGGAGCUCCUGCUGCAUGGUGGGGGUUGGAAAGUUUCGGCGGUUGGGGAUGGACUCGCGGCUUAUCAGCUUGUUGGUGGGGUAGUGGCUUACCAAGGCUUUGACGGGUAGCCGGCCUGAGAGGGUGACCGGCCACAUUGGGACUGAGAGACGGCCCAGACUCCUACGGGAGGCAGCAGUGGGGAAUAUUGCACAAUGGGCGGAAGCCUGAUGCAGCAACGCCGCGUGCGGGAUGACGGCCUUCGGGUUGUAAACCGCUUUCGCCUGUGACGAAGCGUGAGUGGCGGUAAUGGGUAAAGAAGCACCGGCUAACUACGU